Molecule: long non-coding RNA, 387 nt
Filed under: Ananas comosus (pineapple)
Lineage: Eukaryota; Viridiplantae; Streptophyta; Magnoliopsida; Poales; Bromeliaceae
Description: long non-coding RNA (ACOM_LNC028634)
Source: RNAcentral
UUAUUCUCGCUAAUUAUUAAUCCUAAAAGUUUGAACUAUUAGAAAUACAUAACCAAUUCACUUAAAUGGGCAGCGUCCUCACAACACCUAGCUCUAAUCUCUCAACACCUGCACAAAUUUGCAAUAUAUGAAAAUCAAACUCACAACAUCUAGCUCCGAUAUGAUUUGUCGGAUCGUUGGCGCUAACUUUUAAUUCCAAAAGCUUGAGCAAUUAGAAAUAUGAAAUUAGUUCACUUAAAGCAUAUAAACAUAAUAUCCAUAGGUCUCGAUUGUGACCCCGCGAACUAAGCUCACAUCAUUUCGAAUAUGACUUGAUCUAAUUCGGCUUUCUGUCAUUUCAAACGGAUGUGAAUCUAGGAACAAAAUAUUGGGCUAUUUAAGCCAACA